This 530-nucleotide ribosomal RNA is filed under the name Clostridioides difficile. RNAcentral describes it as "bacterial SSU rRNA". It matches the Rfam family "Bacterial small subunit ribosomal RNA", at positions 221 to 769 of the family's 1533-position model. Lineage: Bacteria; Bacillati; Bacillota; Clostridia; Peptostreptococcales; Peptostreptococcaceae. The record is from RNAcentral.
CAGGAUGGACCCGCGUCUGAUUAGCUAGUUGGUAAGGUAACGGCUUACCAAGGCGACGAUCAGUAGCCGACCUGAGAGGGUGAUCGGCCACAUUGGAACUGAGACACGGUCCAAACUCCUACGGGAGGCAGCAGUGGGGAAUAUUGCACAAUGGGCGAAAGCCUGAUGCAGCAACGCCGCGUGAGUGAUGAAGGCCUUCGGGUCGUAAAACUCUGUCCUCAAGGAAGAUAAUGACGGUACUUGAGGAGGAAGCCCCGGCUAACUACGUGCCAGCAGCCGCGGUAAUACGUAGGGGGCUAGCGUUAUCCGGAUUUACUGGGCGUAAAGGGUGCGUAGGCGGUCUUUCAAGUCAGGAGUGAAAGGCUACGGCUCAACCGUAGUAAGCUCUUGAAACUGGGAGACUUGAGUGCAGGAGAGGAGAGUGGAAUUCCUAGUGUAGCGGUGAAAUGCGUAGAUAUUAGGAGGAACACCAGUUGCGAAGGCGGCUCUCUGGACUGUAACUGACGCUGAGGCACGAAAGCGUGGGGAGC